GGGUGAUUAGCUCAGCUGGGAGAGCACCUCCCUUACAAGGAGGGCGUCGGCGGUUCGAUCCCGUCAUCACCCACCA
RNAcentral lists this transfer RNA (76 nucleotides) under Escherichia coli. RNAcentral's name for it is "tRNA-Val". It matches the Rfam family "tRNA". Rfam says of the family: Transfer RNA (tRNA) molecules are approximately 80 nucleotides in length. Their secondary structure includes four short double-helical elements and three loops (D, anti-codon, and T loops). Lineage: Bacteria; Pseudomonadati; Pseudomonadota; Gammaproteobacteria; Enterobacterales; Enterobacteriaceae. The record is from RNAcentral.